AGAGCGAACGCUGGCGGCAGGCCUAACACAUGCAAGUCGAGCGCCCCGCAAGGGGAGCGGCAGACGGGAGAGUAACACGUGGGAACGUACCCUUCAGUUCGGAACAACCCAGGGAAACUUGGGCUAAUACCGAAUACGUCCGUAAGGAGAAAGAUUUAUCGCUGAAGGAUCGGCCCGCGUCUGAUUAGCUUGUUGGUGAGGUAACGGCUCACCAAGGCGACGAUCAGUAGCUGGUCUGAGAGGAUGAUCAGCCUCACUGGGACUGAGACACGGCCCAGACUCCUACGGGAGGCAGCAGUGGGGAAUAUUGGACAAUGGGCGCAAGCCUGAUCCAGCCAUGCCGCGUGGGUGAUGAAGGCCCUAGGGUUGUAAAGCCCUUUCGGCGGGACGAAAUUGACGGUACCUACAGAAGAACGCCCCGGCUAACUACGUGCCAGCAGCCGC
RNAcentral lists this ribosomal RNA (444 nucleotides) under uncultured bacterium. RNAcentral's name for it is "SSU rRNA". It matches the Rfam family "Bacterial small subunit ribosomal RNA", at positions 26 to 518 of the family's 1533-position model. The record is from RNAcentral.